AAAUUGAAGAGUUUGAUCAUGGCUCAGAUUGAACGCUGGCGGCAGGCCUAACACAUGCAAGUCGAGCGGUAGCACAAGAGAGCUUGCUCUCUGGGUGACGAGCGGCGGACGGGUGAGUAAUGUCUGGGAAACUGCCUGAUGGAGGGGGAUAACUACUGGAAACGGUAGCUAAUACCGCAUAACGUCUACGGACCAAAGUGGGGGACCUUCGGGCCUCACGCCAUCAGAUGUGCCCAGAUGGGAUUAGCUAGUAGGUGGGGUAAUGGCUCACCUAGGCGACGAUCCCUAGCUGGUCUGAGAGGAUGACCAGCCACACUGGAACUGAGACACGGUCCAGACUCCUACGGGAGGCAGCAGUGGGGAAUAUUGCACAAUGGGCGCAAGCCUGAUGCAGCCAUGCCGCGUGUGUGAAGAAGGCCUUAGGGUUGUAAAGCACUUUCAGCGAGGAGGAAGGGCAAUGUGUUAAUAGCACAUUGCAUUGACGUUACUCGCAGAAGAAGCACCGGCUAACUCCGUGCCAGCAGCCGCGGUAAUACGGAGGGUGCAAGCGUUAAUCGGAAUUACUGGGCGUAAAGCGCACGCAGGCGGUUUGUUAAGUCAGAUGUGAAAUCCCCGCGCUUAACGUGGGAACUGCAUUUGAAACUGGCAAGCUAGAGUCUUGUAGAGGGGGUAGAAUUCCAGGUGUAGCGGUGAAAUGCGUAGAGAUCUGGAGGAAUACCGGUGGCGAAGGCGGCCCCCUGGACAAAGACUGACGCUCAGGUGCGAAAGCGUGGGGAGCAAACAGGAUUAGAUACCCUGGUAGUCCACGCUGUAAACGAUGUCGAUUUGGAGGUUGUGCCCUUGAGGCGUGGCUUCCGGAGCUAACGCGUUAAAUCGACCGCCUGGGGAGUACGGCCGCAAGGUUAAAACUCAAAUGAAUUGACGGGGGCCCGCACAAGCGGUGGAGCAUGUGGUUUAAUUCGAUGCAACGCGAAGAACCUUACCUACUCUUGACAUCCAGAGAAUUCGCUAGAGAUAGCUUAGUGCCUUCGGGAACUCUGAGACAGGUGCUGCAUGGCUGUCGUCAGCUCGUGUUGUGAAAUGUUGGGUUAAGUCCCGCAACGAGCGCAACCCUUAUCCUUUGUUGCCAGCGAUUCGGUCGGGAACUCAAAGGAGACUGCCGGUGAUAAACCGGAGGAAGGUGGGGAUGACGUCAAGUCAUCAUGGCCCUUACGAGUAGGGCUACACACGUGCUACAAUGGCGUAUACAAAGAGAAGCGAACUCGCGAGAGCAAGCGGACCUCAUAAAGUACGUCGUAGUCCGGAUUGGAGUCUGCAACUCGACUCCAUGAAGUCGGAAUCGCUAGUAAUCGUAGAUCAGAAUGCUACGGUGAAUACGUUCCCGGGCCUUGUACACACCGCCCGUCACACCAUGGGAGUGGGUUGCAAAAGAAGUAGGUAGCUUAACCUUCGGGAGGGCGCUUACCACUUUGUGAUUCAUGACUGGGGUGAAGUCGUAACAAGGUAACCGUAGGGGAACCUGCGGUUGGAUCACCUCCUUA
RNAcentral lists this ribosomal RNA (1541 nucleotides) under Serratia plymuthica. RNAcentral's name for it is "bacterial SSU rRNA". It matches the Rfam family "Bacterial small subunit ribosomal RNA". The record is from RNAcentral. Lineage: Bacteria; Pseudomonadati; Pseudomonadota; Gammaproteobacteria; Enterobacterales; Yersiniaceae.